GUAGGUUCAGGAUGAGGCUUAGUCCUCGGGGGUGUAGGUUCAGGAUGAGGCUUAGUCCUCGGAGGUGUAGGUUCAGGAUGAGGCUUAGGCCUCGGAGGUGUAGGUUCAGGAUGAGGCUUAGUCCUCGGGGGUGUAGGUUCAGGAUGAGGCUUAGUCCUCGGGGGUGUAGGUUCAGGACGAGGCUUAGUCCUCGGGGGUGUAGGUUCAGGAUGAGGCUUAGUCCUCGGAGGUGUAGGUUCAGGAUGAGUCUUAGGCCUCGGAGGUGUAGGUUCAGGAUGAGGCUUAGUCCUCGGGGGUGUAGGUUCAGGAUGAGGCUUAGUCCUCAAGGGUGUAGGUUCAGGAUGAGGCUUAGUCCUCGGGGGUGUAGUGGUCCCAUGGUGUUUAUGUUUGCAUACUAUUGUUUGUACAGAUGAACGUGGCACCUUCAGGCAUUUGGAAAUUGCUCCCAAGGAUGAACCAGACUUGUGGAGGUCUACAAUUUAUUUUCUGAGGUCUUGGCUGAUUUCUUUAGAUUUUACCAUAAUGUCAAGCAAAGAGGCACUGAGUUUGAAGGUAGGCCUUGAAAUACAUCCACAGGUACACCUCCAAUUGACUCAAAUGAUAUCAAUUAGCCUAUCAGAAGCUUCUAAAGCCAUGACAUCAUUAUCUGGCAUUUUCCAAGCUGUUUAUAGGCACAGUCAACUUAGUGUAUGUAAACUUCUGACCCACUGGAAUUGUAAUACAGUGAAUUAUAAGUGAAAUAAUCUGUCUGUAAACAAUUGUUGGAAAAAUUACUUGUGUCGUGCACCAAGUAGAUGUCCUAAUCGACUUGCCAAAACUAUAGUUUGUUCACAAGAAAUUUGUGGAGUGGUUGAAAAACGAGUUUUAAGGACUCCAACCUAAGUGUAUGUAAACUUCCGACUUCAACUGUAUGUGUGAAAUUAGAUUUGGUACUGUUUAGGUUAAGUUUUGAGGCAAUUAUCGGGGUGAUUAUCAACUGGGCUCGGCACCUUCCACUGAAGUAGCGGAGCAGGUCCUACUGUAGUGAGAAGGAGGGGAGCAGGCCCUACUGUCGGGAGAAGGAAGGGAGCAGGCCCUACUGUCGGGAGAAGGAAGGGAGCAGGCCCUACUGUCGGGAGAAGGAAGGGAGCAGGCCCUACUGUCGGGAGAAGGAAGGA
Oncorhynchus tshawytscha (Chinook salmon) is the source of this 1157-nucleotide long non-coding RNA. NCBI's taxonomy places the organism in Eukaryota, Metazoa, Chordata, Actinopteri, Salmoniformes, Salmonidae. The record is from Ensembl.